GUUAGUUAACUGGCUAAGUUAACUAGGUUAUGUGUGUGUUAGUUAACUGGCUAAGUUAACUAGGUUAUGUGUGUGUUAGUUAACUGGCUAAGUUAACUAGGUUAUGUGUGUGUUAGUUAACUGGCUAAGUUAACUAGGUUAUGUGUGUGUUAGUUAGCUAGUUUAAAUGUGUGUUAGUUAGCUAGGUUAUGUGUGUGUUAGUUAACUGGCUAAGUUAGCUAGGUUAUGUGUGUGUUAGUUAACUGGCUAAGUUAGCUAGGUUAUGUGUGUGUUAGUUAGCUAGUUUAAAUGUGUGUUAGUUAGCUAGGUUAUGUGUGUGUUAGUUAACUGGCUAAGUUAGCUAGGUUAUGUGUGUGUUAGUUAACUGGCUAAGUUAACUAGGUUAUGUGUGUGUUAGUUAACUGGCUAAGUUAGCUAGGUUAUGUGUGUGUUAGUUAGCUAGUUUAAAUGUGUGUUAGUUAGCUAGGUUAUGUGUGUGUUAGUUAGCUAGUUUAAAUGUGUGUUAGUUAGCUAGGUUAUGUGUGUUCGUUUGCUAGCUAAGUUAACUUUUAUGUGUGGGUUAGUUAGCUAGGUUAUAUGUGUGUUAGCAAGUUAAAUGCGUGUGUGUUAGUUAGCUAGGUUAAAUGUGUGUUAGUUAGCAAGCUAAGUUAGCUAGGGUAAAUGUGUGUGUUAGCUAGGUUAAUUGUGUUAGCUAGU
Molecule: long non-coding RNA, 696 nt
Organism: Astyanax mexicanus (Mexican tetra)
Lineage: Eukaryota; Metazoa; Chordata; Actinopteri; Characiformes; Acestrorhamphidae
Exons: 4
Source: RefSeq, a predicted model, not a curated record